ACAUACCAUCACACUAUAUGAUGAAAACCAAUAGAAUACAUAAUCAAUCAAAGCAAUCAUGUACUAGUCUGUGUUGCAGUUUAGAAUGUUUUAAGCAACUCCAUUCUUGCUGUAGAAAAACUAAGGCCAAAAAAACCAUGACAUGCCAUAACAAUAGCACAGCAGAUUUUUCUUUCCCUCUAAAGAGCCUGCUCUAUUAUUUGCAUCCUAAAUCUUUUGGCCAACUAUUAUGAAAUUACAUGGAUAUAUCAUAAAUAAAUGAUCAGUAUUUAUUAGAAGUUAUUAUUUGUAUGCUCUGAAAAAUGUCAAUAUAAAAGCAUAUAUUCCUACAAAGUAUCAACUGUUAUGAAUGAUAUAUAAAGCAUUUACAAACAACCAUAUCUUACAUUACAAAUGCAUUCUUGCGUAUGGCUCUGCCAUUCUCUGGCGUAAUGAGAUUGUUGUAUAAUGUCUUCUAUUUAAACAAUGACCAACAAGUCUUCUAGUAGUAAAACUUAAAAAGAUUUUUUGCAUGAAUACC
This 520-nucleotide long non-coding RNA is filed under the name Phoenix dactylifera (date palm). Its description in RNAcentral is "long non-coding RNA (PDAC_LNC010865)". The record is from RNAcentral. Lineage: Eukaryota; Viridiplantae; Streptophyta; Magnoliopsida; Arecales; Arecaceae.